This is a long non-coding RNA of Cimex lectularius (bed bug), 1126 nucleotides long. RefSeq lists it as uncharacterized. The record is from RefSeq and is a predicted model, not a curated record. The transcript is spliced from 2 exons. Lineage: Eukaryota; Metazoa; Arthropoda; Insecta; Hemiptera; Cimicidae.
UUCAUCUUAUCGAACACGUCUAUGUCAUGUUAUAUCGGUUCAUUAUGAUAAUCUAUUAAAAUUGAAUUGUUUGAAGUCUAAAGCUGCCAUUUUUAUUAUUACGGAAGUUUUACAACGUCAUAAAGUAUAAUUUAGUUCAUUUGUUUCUAGAGGAGAGCCGAAUCCAUGUUUUAUAGAGGCAUUUCCGACGUCUAUGCUAUUCUACAUUAAUGCGCUUUUCAUGUUCUUGUUCCAUUUGUACAUUACGGCCAUACACCGAUUAAAAUCAAUUCCAUUCGAAAAUACUUCGCCUUGUGUUAAAAUGUAUUUUAUUAUUUAUCGUGGCAUAGGUGAGGGCGCCGGUACGGAUAGGUAGCGUAAGUUGGCAACCCUGCUUAUAAGAAAAAUAGAGAAUUCUAACGGACAGACAGUGUCUAGCGUCUUUUAUUGUUUUCAAUAAUAAAUAAUUAACUUCCUUGUUUCAAAAUUUAACAAAAUUUGAUUCGACUUUAAUUAUAAUUGCGCGUUUUUAAUUAUUACGUUUGUCAGGGUGGUAGUUUCACAAGAGUUUCGUACUAGUAUUGAAUUGAAAUAGUCUUAGGACGAUAUUAUGGAUUUAAAACAGGCAUAACAAGGAGAAUAUUAUAUAGGGUAAUAAUGUCGUGUAAAAAACUUAGUGAAAAGUGUGGUUAAGCGGUAUCAGAGCUUGUACGGAGCCGGGACGCGUUGGGAAAAAGUAUCGGGUCGAGAUUGAUUUUCUCCUUCAUCAAAUCUCUUAUGAACUCGGCCGUCCUGGGGUCGAACUCCGUUUUGCCUUCCGCUGGGUUGCUCUGAUCCAUUUCGGCCACCAUUUAAACAGAAGUGCCGACCUCUGAGAGAAGAGACAGACCUGACGAACUUCGGAUCUCCAAGCGAUAAUGUAAACAAAUCGGGAAAACGCCGAAAACAGGAGAACUUGGGUCAAGUAAACAAACGAGAGUCGAGAAAGAUUAUGGCCGGCACCUGGAGCUGCAGUCUGGCCAACAUAAAAACCGCCGGCUCUGAAAUGCCCCUUUUUUCCCGUGACUUGUUUUCGUCUAUUUUUUUAAAAUAAUUAUUGUUAAUUACAUCCAUAAUAAACGUACAAAAAUAAAUUUACUUUCCUUCC